This 595-nucleotide long non-coding RNA is filed under the name Homo sapiens (human). RNAcentral's name for it is "HSALNT0388081". The record is from RNAcentral. Lineage: Eukaryota; Metazoa; Chordata; Mammalia; Primates; Hominidae.
ACUGUGACCUUGGGUGGAGACUGGUCUGGUUCUGCCAUGGCUAAUCCUCCCCUCUCCAAGGAUCCCCUGUUUUCUCUUGCAGAUUUGCUAAAUGACCGCGCAGUCUGUCAUCUGCGGUGUUCGCGUGACCCUCAGCGCCCUCCCCACCCGGCAGGCCCUUUCCCGCCGAAUGGGGGCUUGGCGGGGACGGAACGGUGAGGUCAGAGAAUGCUGCAGAGGGGACAUUGGGACCAGGUCUUGCAGUGAGUUGAAGUGCUCCAGGCAGAGAGCGCCGGUGGGUCUUUCCUGGCCAGGCCGCAGGGGGCCUUUGGGAAGCACCCGAGGCCUAUAACCUUCGGAGCGUUUGUCAAGCUCUAAUGAGAACUGGAAAGCUUCAGCUUCCCGAGGUGGGCUGGGAGGGCCUUAGGUAGGGCCUCGCACAAAUUGCGAAGGAAAGCCGACCUUGUUCUGGAGAGCACGUGGUGAGGAAAGCCAGCGACUUGAUGUGAGCAUUUAAACGGGAGGAAGGAAGAUGAGAACUGGUAAGAUUCUUCUCGGCCGGGCGGUGCAGCGGCUCACGCCUGUAAUCCUAGCACUUUGGGAGGCCGAAGCCAGG